Molecule: ribosomal RNA, 392 nt
Filed under: uncultured bacterium
Lineage: Bacteria
Description: partial 16S ribosomal RNA
Rfam family: Bacterial small subunit ribosomal RNA
Source: RNAcentral
AUACGUAUGUCGCAAGCGUUAUCCGGAUUUAUUGAGCGUAAGGCGCGUCUAGGCGGCUUAGUAAGUCUGACGUGAGAAUGCGGGGCUCAACCCCGUAUUGCGUUGGAAACUGCUAAACUAGAGUACUGGAGAGGUAGGCGGAACUACAAGUGUAGAGGUGAAAUUCGUAGAUAUUUGUAGGAAUGCCGAUGGGGAAGCCAGCCUACUGGACAGAUACUGACGCUAAAGCGCGAAAGCGUGGGUAGCAAACAGGAUUAGAUACCCUGGUAGUCCACGCCGUAAACGAUGAUUACUAGGUGUUGGGGGUCGAACCUCAGCGCCCAAGCUAACGCGAUAAGUAAUCCGCCUGGGGAGUACGUACGCAAGUACGAAACUCAAAUGAAUUGGCGGGG